GCUUUAUAGUCAAUUAUGAUAUUAAAUUGCAAAUUUAAAGGAAAACUUA
Molecule: transfer RNA, 49 nt
Filed under: Nitidulidae sp. 1 ACP-2013
Lineage: Eukaryota; Metazoa; Arthropoda; Insecta; Coleoptera; Nitidulidae
Description: partial tRNA-Cys
Source: RNAcentral